UACGUAGGGUGCAAGCGUUGUCCGGAAUUAUUGGGCGUAAAGAGCUCGUAGGCGGUCUGUCACGUCGGCUGUGAAAACCUAGGGCUCAACCCUGGGCCUGCAGCCGAUACGGGCAGACUAGAAUCGGUAGGGGAGACUGGAAUUCCUGGGUGUAGCGGUGAAAUGCGCAGAUAUCAGGAGGAACACCGGUGGCGAAGGCGGGUCUCUGGGCCGAUAUUGACGCUGAGGAGCGAAAGCGUGGGGAGCGAACAGG
Molecule: ribosomal RNA, 253 nt
Filed under: uncultured bacterium
Lineage: Bacteria
Description: partial 16S ribosomal RNA
Rfam family: Bacterial small subunit ribosomal RNA
Source: RNAcentral